RNAcentral lists this ribosomal RNA (428 nucleotides) under uncultured Bacillota bacterium. RNAcentral's name for it is "bacterial SSU rRNA". It matches the Rfam family "Bacterial small subunit ribosomal RNA", at positions 958 to 1385 of the family's 1533-position model. Lineage: Bacteria; Bacillati; Bacillota. The record is from RNAcentral.
AACGCGAAGAACCUUACCAGGUCUUGACAUCCCACUGCCCGGUAUAGAGAUAUACCUUUCCCUUCGGGGACAGUGGUGACAGGUGGUGCAUGGUUGUCGUCAGCUCGUGUCGUGAGAUGUUGGGUUAAGUCCCGCAACGAGCGCAACCCUUGAUCUUAGUUGCCAGCAUUUAGUUGGGCACUCUAAGGUGACUGCCGGUGACAAACCGGAGGAAGGUGGGGAUGACGUCAAAUCAUCAUGCCCCUUAUGACCUGGGCUACACACGUGCUACAAUGGAUGGUACAAAGGGCUGCGAGACUGCGAAGUCAAGCCAAUCCCAUAAAACCAUUCUCAGUUCGGAUUGCAGGCUGCAACUCGCCUGCAUGAAGCUGGAAUCGCUAGUAAUCGUGGAUCAGCAUGCCACGGUGAAUACGUUCCCGGGCCUUGUA